Molecule: ribosomal RNA, 440 nt
Filed under: uncultured bacterium
Lineage: Bacteria
Description: partial 16S ribosomal RNA
Rfam family: Bacterial small subunit ribosomal RNA
Source: RNAcentral
CUACGGGAGGCUGCAGUUGGGAAUUUUGCACAAUGGAGGAAACUCUGAUGCAGCAACACUGCGUGAAGGAUGAAGGUCUUCGGAUUGUAAACUUCUUUUAUAUGGGAAUAAUCUUGAAGGUACCAUAUGAAUAAGCACCGGCUAACUACGUGCCAGCAGCCGCGGUAAUACGUAGGGUGCAAACGUUAUCCGGAUUUACUGGGCGUAAAGAGCUCGUAGGUGGAUUGAAAAGUCUGAUAUUAAAUCUCCAGGCUCAACUUGGAAGCAGUAUCGGAAACUUUUUUUCUUGAGGUAUGCAGGGGAGAACGGAACGUACGGUGUAGCGGUGGAAUGCGUAGAUAUCGUACGGAACGCCAAUGGUGAAGACAGUUCUCUGGGCAUUACCUGACACUGAGGAGCGAAAGCGUGGGUAGCGAUCGGGAUUAGAUACCCCCGUAGUC